Molecule: ribosomal RNA, 94 nt
Filed under: Staphylococcus aureus
Lineage: Bacteria; Bacillati; Bacillota; Bacilli; Caryophanales; Staphylococcaceae
Source: RNAcentral
UAGCAAGGAGGUCACACCUGUUCCCAUGCCGAACACAGAAGUUAAGCUCCUUAGCGUCGAUGGUAGUCGAACUUACGUUCCGCUAGAGUAGAAC